Molecule: ribosomal RNA, 479 nt
Filed under: uncultured bacterium
Lineage: Bacteria
Description: partial 16S ribosomal RNA
Rfam family: Bacterial small subunit ribosomal RNA
Source: RNAcentral
GAUGAACGCUAGCGGGAGGCCUAACACAUGCAAGCCGAGCGGUAUUGUUUCUUCGGACAUGAGAGAGCGGCGUACGGGUGCGGAACACGUGUACAACCUGCCUUUAUCUGGGGGAUAGCCUUUCGAAAGGAAGAUUAAUACUCCAUAACAUAUUGAACGGCAUCGUUCGAUAUUGAAAGCUCCGGCGGAUAGAGAUGGGCACGCGCAAGAUUAGCUAGUUGGUGAGGUAACGGCUCACCAAGGCGAUGAUCUUUAGGGGGCCUGAGAGGGUGAUCCCCCACACUGGUACUGAGACACGGACCAGACUCCUACGGGAGGCAGCAGUGAGGAAUAUUGGUCAAUGGGUGCAAGCCUGAACCAGCCAUCCCGCGUGAAGGACGACUGCCCUAUGGGUUGUAAACUUCUUUUGUAUAGGGAUAAACCUGCCCUCGUGAGGGUAGCUGAAGGUACUAUACGAAUAAGCACCGGCUAACUCCGUG